ACCCGGAUAAACUCACUUCCGGCGUGCUAUCAGAGGGUCGACAUGCUUGUGUCAACUCUCCUUCUCUAAAUGUGUUUUUAAUGAAGUAUUUGCGGAGAUUUGCUGUUGUUUUCACUAAAUAUCCAGUGGCGCGCUUUUCUCACGCGGCAGUUUGUGGAGUGGCGCCUGAAAGUGCCAUGUGUAAGCCGCUGAAGACCAAAGUGCUCACUUUGUCACCGGCGGCCGGCGACGAGCCCUCGUUUUUGACGCGGGAAGCUCGUGCAGGAGUUUAAGGAUCUGUGGCCCAGACUCGCAGUGGUCGUGGACGGAGGGCCAAUCGGAGACCAGAGUCGUCUCGGGUCGACCGGGGUGGACCUUUCUGUACACAGCAGGUACCGCAUCAUCCGAGCCGGGUGUGCCUUUUCUUCCACCGUGGACGUGCUGGAAGGUAAAUAUGGACUCUCCUCUCUGGAUUUGGGAUAAAACCACAUCACAAAAGUCCACACACUGACUGGAACACAACAAGCUUUUUUUUUUUUAUGAACUUUUGUCUCAACCUCAAGACCAUUAUUUUUCCUCAGGAACAUUUGAAACCCUGGACUUUGGAAACACUCUACGGUUAUAAAGUAGACCGCUCGCAAUAUUUUUAUAAUGGGAAUGGAUUUUAUUUUUGUGGCUUUAUUGUUGAAUUAUGUUGGUCCUUUAUAAUAGAUUUAUGUGGAAGUUUUCCAUCUUGUUUCAAAAAGUAUCUUAUCUAUACCCUUUUUUGCAUUUCUAUUUAUUAUUAUUAUUCUUUUAGAAAAGAAUGCCUUCAUGCAUGUUAAAAACUGUUACUUGUGUCAAUUUAAGUUAAAUCUUGUACAAUAAAGACCUCAAAUUUCUCCUUAACAACAAAAAGCAAUUUAAUAAGUGUGUUUCUCUCCUUUAUGUUUAUUUCUAGUGUCAAAUGUUUGAAGUCAUAUCGGCAAUUCAACCACAGCCCAUUAGAGACUCGAUACUUUUAUUGUGGGGAAAAAAAAUGCCAGGAAGAAGCAUUAAGCAAUCAGCAGGAAACAAAACGUGCAAACCAAUAUUCCCGCAGUAACAUUUUUGUAUUCAUUAAUCAAGUUUGCUGUUAAGUGUAUUUGCUGUCUUAGCGUCAUUGUGUAAGUCCACUUGCCCUGGAGCUUGUAAGAACCUA
Entelurus aequoreus (snake pipefish) is the source of this 1159-nucleotide long non-coding RNA. RefSeq lists it as uncharacterized. The transcript is spliced from 3 exons. The record is from RefSeq and is a predicted model, not a curated record. Lineage: Eukaryota; Metazoa; Chordata; Actinopteri; Syngnathiformes; Syngnathidae.